GACGAACGCUGGCGGCGUGCUUAACACAUGCAAGUCGAACGGAAAGGCCCUGCUUUUGUGGGUUGCUCGAGUGGCGAACGGGUGAGUAACACGUGAGUAACCUGCCCUUGACUUUGGGAUAACUUCAGGAAACUGGGGAUAAUACCGGAUAGGAGCUCCUUCUGCUUGGUGGGGGUUGGAAAGUUUCGGCGGUUGGGGAUGGACUCGCGGCUUAUCAGCUUGUUGGUGGGGUAGUGGCUUACCAAGGCUUUGACGGGUAGCCGGCCUGAGAGGGUGACCGGCCACAUUGGGACUGAGAGACGGCCCAGACUGCUACGGGAGGCAGCAGUGGGGAAUAUUGCACAAUGGGCGGAAGCCUGAUGCAGCAACGCCGCGUGCGGGAUGACGGCCUGCGGGUUGUAAACCGCUUUCGCCUGUGACGAAGCGUGAGUGACGGUAAUGGGUAAAGAAGCACCGGCUAACUACGUG
This 468-nucleotide ribosomal RNA is filed under the name uncultured bacterium. RNAcentral describes it as "partial 16S ribosomal RNA". It matches the Rfam family "Bacterial small subunit ribosomal RNA", at positions 28 to 507 of the family's 1533-position model. The record is from RNAcentral.